Molecule: unclassified non-coding RNA, 388 nt
Filed under: soil metagenome
Description: partial contains 5.8S ribosomal RNA, internal transcribed spacer 2, and large subunit ribosomal RNA
Rfam family: 5.8S ribosomal RNA (bases 1-120)
Source: RNAcentral
GAUGAAGAACGUAGCGAAGUGCGAUAAGUAAUGUGAAUUGCAGAAUUCCGUGAAUCAUCGAAUCUUUGAACGCAAAUUGCGCUCCUUGGCAUCCCGAGGAGUAUGCCUGUUUGAGGGUCAGUGUUAAUAAAAAUCGGUUCGUUGCGAAUUUUUUGUGACGGUUCCGGAGUUUGGGUUAUCUUAACUUUUUUGGUUAAGAGGCUUAAAAUUGACCUUUUUUUUUGUGCAUUUUAGACGUACAUAAAUUUCUUUUAUUCGUCUAUUUAAUGCCAAAAUAUAUAUUAGAUGCGACCAUAUCGUGUGGUUCCGUGUCUAUAAAUUUUUCAUGAUUUGACCUCAAAUCAGGUAGGAGUACCCGCUGAACUUAAGCAUAUCAAUAAGCGGAGGA